This 661-nucleotide ribosomal RNA is filed under the name Salmonella enterica. RNAcentral's name for it is "partial 23S ribosomal RNA". It matches the Rfam family "Bacterial large subunit ribosomal RNA", at positions 2270 to 2925 of the family's 2925-position model. RNAcentral also lists the same sequence under 1 other name. Lineage: Bacteria; Pseudomonadati; Pseudomonadota; Gammaproteobacteria; Enterobacterales; Enterobacteriaceae. The record is from RNAcentral.
UUGACUGGGGCGGUCUCCUCCUAAAGAGUAACGGAGGAGCACGAAGGUUGGCUAAUCCUGGUCGGACAUCAGGAGGUUAGUGCAAUGGCAUAAGCCAGCUUGACUGCGAGCGUGACGGCGCGAGCAGGUGCGAAAGCAGGUCAUAGUGAUCCGGUGGUUCUGAAUGGAAGGGCCAUCGCUCAACGGAUAAAAGGUACUCCGGGGAUAACAGGCUGAUACCGCCCAAGAGUUCAUAUCGACGGCGGUGUUUGGCACCUCGAUGUCGGCUCAUCACAUCCUGGGGCUGAAGUAGGUCCCAAGGGUAUGGCUGUUCGCCAUUUAAAGUGGUACGCGAGCUGGGUUUAGAACGUCGUGAGACAGUUCGGUCCCUAUCUGCCGUGGGCGCUGGAGAACUGAGGGGGGCUGCUCCUAGUACGAGAGGACCGGAGUGGACGCAUCACUGGUGUUCGGGUUGUCAUGCCAAUGGCACUGCCCGGUAGCUAAAUGCGGAAGAGAUAAGUGCUGAAAGCAUCUAAGCACGAAACUUGCCCCGAGAUGAGUUCUCCCUGAGACUUUAGGUCUCCUGAAGGAACGUUGAAGACGACGACGUUGAUAGGCCGGGUGUGUAAGCGCAGCGAUGCGUUGAGCUAACCGGUACUAAUGAACCGUGAGGCUUAACCUU